GCUUCAAAGCUACCACCAUCAUUCCAGUCCCAUCGAAGCCAUCUCCAUUUUGCUUCAAUGACUACCGUCCAGUUUCACUUACUCCUAUUCUCAUGAAGUAUUUUGAAUGGCUAGUCAUGCACCACAUUAAGUCUGCCCGUCCCCCCUCCCUGGACUCCUUCCAGUUUGAAUAUCGGUCCAACCGCUCGACCGAUGAUGCCAUCGCAACUGCCCUCCACUCAGCACUCACAGAUAUAGACAAAAAGGACUCAUAUGUCAGAAUGCUGUUCAUAGACUUCAGUUCUGAGUCUCUAGACCAGAGAAACAAAGCGGAUCGACCAAGUUCUGAGUCUCUAGUCCAGAGAGGCAGAAGACACACAGACAUCUGCAACAAGGUUAAGCUCUGGUGAGCAAACCUUCACUUCAAGGUACUUUUGCUUGCAUGUUCCAGGCUAAGGACCUUCUGCACCUACUCCGGGCUACAUCUGCGUGUUCCAGAUUUUAGGACCCUUUGGUGCUCCAGAAGAUCAUCAUCCUCCAGCGCUUCGUGUUCAAGACUGCUGAAUCGGAUUCCUGCUCCUUUCCCCACUGCAUUGUUACCAGCACAAACAGUGGAUGAAGUCAUUGCCACCAGACUGCUCACUCGACCACAGAGAACAUUUUGGGAGAGAGUGCUGCCAGCAAAGACGGGGCGGGUGCAACUGCCACUUCAGAUCCUGAAGAUGAUGGAGAUGGAGACAUCUCUACAAUGGACCCUGAGCCAGAAGUGGUCCAUCGUGGAUCACAGUGCAACAUAAGAUGUUUACAUCGUUCAUUAGCUGUUCAGGUAAAGCCUCAGAUGGUGGAUGUGGGGACUCAAACCGAAAGAUCAACUCCACUGGCCAGUCCUGAACAAAGUGAUGAUGAAUGGUAAUUUUCUGAUAUCAUCAACUAUUCUGGUGAUAUGUCAUGG
Molecule: long non-coding RNA, 931 nt
Organism: Cyprinus carpio (common carp)
Lineage: Eukaryota; Metazoa; Chordata; Actinopteri; Cypriniformes; Cyprinidae
Exons: 3
Source: RefSeq, a predicted model, not a curated record